RNAcentral lists this ribosomal RNA (1486 nucleotides) under uncultured bacterium. RNAcentral describes it as "partial 16S ribosomal RNA". It matches the Rfam family "Bacterial small subunit ribosomal RNA". The record is from RNAcentral.
AGAGUUUGAUCCUGGCUCAGGACGAACGCUGGCGGCGUGCCUCACACAUGCAAGUCGAACGGGGAUAUAUUGAAAGCUUGCUUUUGAUAUAUCCUAGUGGCGAACGGGUGAGUAACACGUGAGCAACCUGCCCGACAAACCGGGAUAACAGCGGGAAACUGCUGCUAAUACCGGAUACACCAGGUAUGGCGCAUGCUGUAUCUGGGAAAGGGUUUACCGAUGUCGGAUGGGCUCGCGUCCCAUUAGCUAGUUGGUGAGGUAACGGCUCACCAAGGCGACGAUGGGUAGCUGGUCUGAGAGGACGAUCAGCCACACUGGAACUGAGACACGGUCCAGACUCCUACGGGAGGCAGCAGUGGGGAAUCUUGCACAAUGGGCGAAAGCCUGAUGCAGCGACGCCGCAUGGAGGAUGAAGGCCUUCGGGUCGUAAACUCCUGUCUGGGGGGAUGAACACUGACAGUACCCCCGGAGGAAGCCCCGGCUAACUACGUGCCAGCAGCCGCGGUAAUACGUAGGGGGCGAGCGUUGUCCGGAAUUACUGGGCGUAAAGCGCGCGCAGGCGGCCUAUUAAGUCAGGUGUUAAAAUGCGGAGCUUAACUCCGUAUCGCACUUGAAACUGGUAGGCUUGAGUGCAGGAGAGGGAAGUGGAAUUCCCAGUGUAGCGGUGAAAUGCGUAGAUAUUGGGAGGAACACCAGUGGCGAAGGCGACUUCCUGGACUGUAACUGACGCUCAGGCGCGAAAGCUAGGGGAGCAAACAGGAUUAGAUACCCUGGUAGUCCUAGCCGUAAACGAUGGGUACUAGGUGUUGGGGGUUUCAAUCCUCCAGUGCCGCAGUUAACGCAUUAAGUACCCCGCCUGGGGAGUACGGCCGCAAGGCUGAAACUCAAAGGAAUUGACGGGGGCCCGCACAAGCGGUGGAGCAUGUGGUUUAAUUCGAAGCAACGCGCAGAACCUUACCAGCUCUUGACAUGGACAGGACCGGCUCAGAGAUGGGCUUUCCCCGCAAGGGGCCUGUUGCACAGGUGCUGCAUGGCUGUCGUCAGCUCGUGUCGUGAGAUGUUGGGUUAAGUCCCGCAACGAGCGCAACCCUCGCCUCCAGUUGCCAGCACGUUUGGGUGGGCACUCUGGAGGAACUGCCGGUGACAAGCCGGAGGAAGGUGGGGAUGACGUCAAGUCCUCAUGGCCCUUAUGGGCUGGGCUACACACGUGCUACAAUGGCGGUGACAGAGGGAUGCGAGGUGGUGACGCCAAGCCGAUCCCGAAAAGCCGUCUCAGUUCAGAUCGUACCCUGCAACUCGGGUACGUGAAGGUGGAAUCGCUAGUAAUCGCGGAUCAGCACGCCGCGGUGAAUACGUUCCCGGGCCUUGUACACACCGCCCGUCACACCAUGGGAGUUGGUUCUACCUUAAGUGGCUGCGGGAACCGCAAGGACCUAGGUCACCACGGUAGGGUCAGCGACUGGGGUGAAGUCGUAACAAGGUAACC